Molecule: long non-coding RNA, 369 nt
Organism: Rosa chinensis
Lineage: Eukaryota; Viridiplantae; Streptophyta; Magnoliopsida; Rosales; Rosaceae
Exons: 3
Source: RefSeq, a predicted model, not a curated record
UCAUCGACAAUUCGAGAUUGCCAAGGAGACCGCCAAGGACUGGGUUAAGCUCACCGUCCAAAACCGUCAGGCCAAGGUCUCGGUGGUCCCCUCUACCGCCUCUUUGGGAUCUGCGUUUUGCUUGGAGCCGGAUCGCGACCGCAAAAUGUCAACUGCUUCAGAUUCGUUUUCUCUACCUUCUUCCUUCACACAUCUCUCAGCCGGAGCUUCCUCCUUUCCCUCCAGAUCCAGUUAUGAUUAGAUCUUUUGUAAAGAUCCAAUAUUGGGGCCGCUAAGUUUGUGAAGGAGACGGGGCUCAAUUAUCGAGCUGCACUUAGCAAUAUCACCAAUUUCAAAAGAGAGGCUUUUGGCUUUCAGAGAAGAUGCAAG